UACGGAGGGUGCGGAGCGUUGUCCGGAAUCACUGGGCGUAAAGGGCGCGUAGGCGGCCUGGCAAGUCGGUGGUGAAAGCCCGUGGCUCAACUACGGGUCGGCCACCGAUACUGCUAUGGCUCGAGUUUGGUAGAGGCAGAUGGAAUUCCGGGAUGUAGCGGUGGAAUGCGUAGAGAUCCGGAAGAACACCGGUGGCGAAGGCGGUCUGCUGGGCCAACACUGACGCUGAGGCGCGACAGCGGUGGGGAGCAAACAGG
Molecule: ribosomal RNA, 257 nt
Filed under: uncultured bacterium
Lineage: Bacteria
Description: partial 16S ribosomal RNA
Rfam family: Bacterial small subunit ribosomal RNA
Source: RNAcentral